AACAAAGAAGCAGAUAAAUGCUUUCGAUGUGGAGAACAGGGACAUCGAGCGCCACAAUGUUUAGCUGCCCUACCUAAGGCGCACGCCUCCAGUGGAGAAUACGCAACCUCAGACAAAGAAGCUGGGCCUAUCGCGCACUGCUCCAAUGACGAUUACGCGCAUUUGAACCGAGAACAACUUGUCGCCAUGUUAAACAGUUUGAAAGCAUAGGAAUUACCGGCCUCCUUUUCAGUCAGUAGUAUAGAAACUCAGGCUCAUUGCAGACCGUAUCUUAGUGCGUGGGUAGGAGGCCGGCCAUGCGAUAUGCUAAUUGAUACUGGCGCUUCUGUUUCUAUCACUGACCUACCGCUCCCUUGUACAAAGCAUUCCAUUGAUCUUGCUGGCAUUGGGGGUAAUUCUGUCCGCGCAUAUAAAUCCUUUCCAGUACUUGUGGAAUCCAAUAAUGCUUAUUGGACACAAUCAUUUUUCAUUUGUAGGACUGCAGAAGGUACCAUCCUCGGUUCUGACGGCAUGAGAUUACUGAAAGCUACUGUUGCAUACUCGCCUAUGGCUUUAUCAGUUUGUGACGCUUCUCAUAAACGCAAGACAUUGCCAUUAGCUGCUCUUUCCCAUACUGCUAUAGCAUCUGUUGCAACACCUAUUGUCCAUUCCUGGGAUUUGACUAACAAGUUCCAAGCUUUAUGUGCAACAUUCCCUGCAUGCUGGUCUGUGCACAAACUGGAUUGUGGAGCUGCACCAUUACCACCACUUGAGGUAACAGGGACUAUGCCCUCACCUGUGAAACAAUACCCGAUUAAACCAGAAGCUGCUCAAGCAGUUGGCUCAAUCAUUCAGUCCUUGCUUUCACAGGAGGUCAUUGAGCCAUGUGUCUCACCCUGUAAUUCUCCUGUCUGGCCUGUGCAAAAACCAGAUGGCUCAUGGCGCCUGACAAUUGAUUACAGAACGGUUAAUGCUGCUGCAGACAAACUUGCUCCAAUUGUUUCUGACCCAAACACGCUGCUUGCUGAUAUCAAACCUAGUCACUGUAUAUUUUCUGUGAUAGACAUUGCCAAUGGAUUCUGGGCCCUGCCUGUUGCUGAAAACUCAAGAGCUUGGUUUGCCUUCACACACCAGAACACGCAAUACACAUGGAAACGCAUGCCUCAGGGCUUUCAUAACAGCCCUACGCUUUUCCAUCGCGCAAUGGCCAAGAUUCUAGCAACAGUUUCAUGGUCUCAGUAUGAAGGAACACAGUGCCUCCAAUAUGUUGAUGAUAUUCUCUUGGCUUCUUCUGACCCUGUCUCUCAUUUCCAGGCUCUGGAAGCUUUACUCAAAGCUUUGGAAAAAUACAAUAUGAAAGCAAGUCCAAAGAAGGCCCAAAUCGCACAAGACGCUGUCCAGUAUUUGGGCUUUACCAUAUCCCAGGGCUCGAAGCAACUCACUGUUGACCGGAGAACUGCUAUUGCCACUGCUCCGCGUCCCCGCACUGUCCGUGAUGUUCGUAAGAUUCUGGGACUUUUUAACUUCUGCAGGAACCACAUACCUGACUUUUCUGUUAUUGCAACACCAAUCAAUGCUCUUUUGAAGGGCUCCCAUCGCCCAUUGGAGACCGUUGAUUGGACAACCGAGUGUGAAGAUGCAUUCAGCACUCUCAAAUCUGCUCUCACGUCUGCCCCUACUUUAGGUUUCCCUUGUUCUGACCUCCCGUUCUUUCUAUGGUCAGCUGUGAAACAAGGCCACAUGACAGCCGUUCUUACUCAGCCCCAUGGAGGCAUACAACGCCCCGUUGCUUACUAUUCUUCUCGCCUGGAUUCUGUCGCUUCUGGUCUUUCCCCUUGCUUACAGGAAGUGCAGGCUGCCGCCACAGCAGUAACGGUCUCCGCUGCACUAGUCUCAGGAGCUCCACUCUCUGUCAAUGUCUCUCAUGCUGUGCAUAACAUACUAACCCAAGGCCGUUUCUCUCGUGUUUCAGCAGCCAGGUGGACUAGAUGGGAAGCCAUCUUGUUAGCUCCGCUUAUCACACUCAUCCACUCCCCAGCUGUGAACCCAGCCACUCUCUUACCUGUCGAGGGAGACGGGGAGCCACAUGAGUGCCCAUUGUCUCCAGAACACCCAUCCAAUUCAGACAUCUCUGAAACACCUCUUUCUGACAAUGAUUUCUCACUUUUUGUUGAUGGAUCUCGUUUUUACAAUGGGGCCCACCCAGUUACAGGAUAUGCAGUUGUUGACAUUGCUGGUCAGGUAAUGGCAUCAGGCCGCCUUCCAAGUUCAGAUUCAGCACAGGUGGCUGAACUUGUUGCCCUCACUCAUGCCUGUGAGUUGGGUUCUGGGAAACGACUUACUAUAUACACUGAUUCCAGGUAUGCAUUUGGUGUUGUCCAUGACUUUAUGGUUAACUGGUCAUCUCGGGGUUUCCUGACUUCAUCAGGUACCCCGAUAAAAAAUGGGGGGGUUGUUCAGAAUCUCAUAACUGCCUCUAAACUACCAAACAAACUAGCAGUUGUAAAAGUGAAAGCGCACACUAAAGGACAAGAUGCAAUCAGCUUGGGUAACCACUGGGCAGAUGAAGCUGCCAAAGCAGCAGCUUUAAAUGACUCCCUGCCUACUUACAAAAUUGCAGCUAUUGACAUGUCGGGUCCAACUAACAUUGACAUAGCUAAACUACAGGAUGCCUGUACAAGAGCUGAAAAAUGGACGUGGAUUGAAAAUGCAUGCACAACAUUUGGCACACACAGGACGGGAAAGUUGUUGCCCCUCAGAGCAUCCUUUCAUUGCUUUGUGAAGUAUACCAUGGCAUUGCACACAAUGGAGAAAGAACAAUGCGGCACAACAUGUCACUUCAUUGGUGGUCUCCCAAAAUGACCAAGACUCUGAAAGAUAAACAAAAGGAGGGGGGGCAAGAAUCGCAGACAUAUGAACCUGGACAAUGGGUUAUGAUAAGAGCCCCUCAUCCUAGAUCUUUCCAACCUCGAUGGCAAGGACCACACCAGGUCUUACUAACCUCUGAGACUGCUCUUCGAGUUACAGGCAUCCCGGUCUGGAUCCACCAAUCCCGGACCAAACCAUGCCCAUCACCCGAAGACCUCAAAAAGCCUGAAGAACUCCCUGCCACGGACGACUGCAGCCUUCACGAAUCAGGUGCAAACGUUCCAAUUUUUUCACAUACUCAACCAAAUUGAGCAUUCAAGUUAUGCUCCCAUCCAACAUGCUGAAUUCAUUUGUAAUUAUAAUCACAGUUUUGAGCCAUGGUGGAGUAAGUGCUGUGGACAAUAACAUUUACAUGCAAUUAGUUCACAUGACAGCCAAACAUGCAAAUAAGACUGGCUGCUAUGUCUGUGGAUUAAUACCACAUUCUGUCGCACUUGGUGUUCCAAUGAUGUCCGUACCUAUCGCCUCCAAGUAUAACACUGCAGAUAGCGAUAGCAAAAGUGAACUUGUUACCAGACCUAAACAUAUAUGUGAUCCUGAACCCAUUAACAUUGCUCUGUCUCUUGGCCCAUAUCUGUGGUGCCUCAAACAAAAUGGCUCUAUUUAUGUUGGAGACCCUGGACUGCAAUACGGUUAUUAACUACCAUGAUAAACCUGUACAAAACCACACAGCUAUGGGAGUCUAUUGGGUUUGUGGGAACAAUGCCUAUUCUGAGUUGCCUAAUUCAUGGUCUGGUAUCUGCGCCUUAGGACAUUUGGUCCCGGCCAUGAGAAUUACAUCUAUUCUACCGGACCGAGUCAGAUAUGAAAGAUCAACUGACGUCUUUGGAACUCACCAUCAGUCUGUUUGGAACAGAGCACUUGGUGCUCUCAUUCCUACUUAUGGGGUUAUGUCCGCUCUAGAUCAAAUUGGCGACCUCUCCAAAGAGGUAGAGCUUUUGGCCAAUAGCACGGCAUUAGGUCUAGGCAAAAUUUCAGAGGAAUUGACAGCUGUCAGAGUGAUGGCUCUACAGAACAGAGCUGCAUUAGAUUAUAUCCUCUCAGCUCAGGGUGGGACAUGUAAAAUAAUUGGCAUCGAAUGCUGUUCCUAUAUUCCCGAUAAUCAGGAUGACCUGAAACGUGUGAUCUCAAAAAUCAAUAAUGUUUCCCGGUCCGCACAUGAAAUAUCACCUACAACACCUGGUUUUCUUGAAUGGUUAUCGAGCUAUUUGGGUGACCUUGGCAAAAUUGUAGUUGAAUACAUUUUUCUGAUUAUACUGGGAUUAACUGUACUGGCAUUGAUAAUUAAAGGUGUGAAAUUAAUUUUCGUACAGUUAAUCUGUGGUAAAACUAAUGAGCAAACCACACAAGUUGUUCACUAUACAAAGACUCCGACAGCAUACAUAAUAUAGAACCAAGUUGUAAUAACUUGGGAGUACUUGAUAAUGCCCUCACAUGGUAUUCUGUUUUCUUCCUCAUAUGCCGGAGAGGACACUCCCAUGACACCAUACCGGCGCCGAGGACACCACCCUCCAAGACCAUGUUGCUGCAAACCAGGAGUAAAUUGCAAGAAAUCCCACCAAGCCUUGAAUCGAGCCUUCCCUACCAAACCAAUGUCACUAUCCAUCCAGCCAGCAACAGAAGGACUUUUUCUUUACAAGUUAUGUUCUUGGAGUACAUCUCGUUCGCCCGUAAGGGGGACGUGAGGGAAUUUUGCCUGAAGUUUUCCUAACACAGGUUUUUGACAGGUUUUCGCCCUCACCCUGAACAAUGACUAAAUAAAUGUAACUGUAAAAUUGACUUAACCAUGAGAUUCAUGUUGUGUCAAAAGGAGGGACUGUUAGGAUACAGAAAGUUUGUGCUGUAGGAGACAGACAGAUUUGUGUAUUCCAAAACCUCACGUGCAUGUGAGAGUCCGCCAUUGUUUUACAAAGACAACCAAUAAGACACAGUGGUAGAAAUUGCAGCCUAUAGGGCAACUCUGUAUAACAAACAACCAAUCAGAGUUCAUGCUGUAUUCUGCGCACAAAUUUGAAUAUAUGUAAAUGUAACUGUAUAAACUCCACAAACUCUAACAGUUGAAUUGAACAUUUUUGUGUGAAUCCCUGUUGCUGGCUUUCUGUAUAAUAAAUGCUUCCUGAUUUUUAAACACUAA
Molecule: long non-coding RNA, 5041 nt
Organism: Anguilla rostrata (American eel)
Lineage: Eukaryota; Metazoa; Chordata; Actinopteri; Anguilliformes; Anguillidae
Exons: 2
Source: RefSeq, a predicted model, not a curated record